Molecule: ribosomal RNA, 496 nt
Filed under: uncultured bacterium
Lineage: Bacteria
Description: partial 16S ribosomal RNA
Rfam family: Bacterial small subunit ribosomal RNA
Source: RNAcentral
GAUGAACGCUGGCGGCGUGCCUAAUACAUGCAAGUCGAGCGAACAGACGAGGAGCUUGCUCCUCUGACGUUAGCGGCGGACGGGUGAGUAACACGUGGAUAACCUACCUAUAAGACUGGGAUAACUUCGGGAAACCGGAGCUAAUACCGGAUAAUAUAUUGAACCGCAUGGUUCAAUAGUGAAAGACGGUUUUGCUGUCACUUAUAGAUGGAUCCGCGCCGCAUUAGCUAGUUGGUAAGGUAACGGCUUACCAAGGCAACGAUGCGUAGCCGACCUGAGAGGGUGAUCGGCCACACUGGAACUGAGACACGGUCCAGACUCCUACGGGAGGCAGCAGUAGGGAAUCUUCCGCAGUGGGCGAAAGCCUAACGGAGCAACGCCGCGUGAGUGAUGAAGGUCUUCGGAUCGUAAAACUCUGUUAUUAGGGAAGAACAAAUGUGUAAGUAACUAUGCACGUCUUGACGGUACCUAAUCAGAAAGCCACGGCUAACUACGU